AUGAUGUUGGAUGGAACAGCCCGCACUUGGUUGAAAGGAUUACCCCCCAAUUCCAUCGGCUCAUGGGCGGAGUUAAAAUCCCGGUUCAUUCAGAACUUCAAGGACACAUGUAAACAACAUAUGUCAAUCUUGGACCUGACUAAUUGUAAGCAAGAGGAAGGUGAGUCCACGACCCAUUGGGUGUGCCGGGUCAAGGAGAUAAUACAUUCGUCUGAUAAGAUGGAUGCCGGCUCAGCAGUCUUAAUGUUGGAGAAAAAUUGCCGUUUUGAACCUCUGAAGCAGAAGCUGGGGAGGCUCAAGCAUGACUGCAAUGACAUGGGCCAGUUGAUGGCGGCCCUGAUCAAAUAUGUUGAUUCUGAUAAUACCAAGGAUCCCGUGUCUAAUGAAGAAAAAACAGGAAGU
RNAcentral lists this ribosomal RNA (402 nucleotides) under Triticum aestivum (bread wheat). RNAcentral describes it as "partial small subunit ribosomal RNA". Lineage: Eukaryota; Viridiplantae; Streptophyta; Magnoliopsida; Poales; Poaceae. The record is from RNAcentral.